This 199-nucleotide long non-coding RNA is filed under the name Elaeis guineensis (African oil palm). RNAcentral describes it as "long non-coding RNA (EGUI_LNC002599)". Lineage: Eukaryota; Viridiplantae; Streptophyta; Magnoliopsida; Arecales; Arecaceae. The record is from RNAcentral.
GUAAGUAUAAAGAAGGUCAAGCAAUCCAAUCCAAAAAUGAUAAUUAUCAAAGAUUCCACCUAGAAUGUAUAUCUCAUGUCUUCUUAAUUUAAUCUAGUGAGAGAACCCAAUACAUGUUUCUUCUAUAUGUCAAUAAUCACAUAUAGGUGCAACCCUCGAAGAGUACUCUACUCUAAUAAUAUAGAACUCUUUUUAUGCC